RNAcentral lists this ribosomal RNA (271 nucleotides) under uncultured archaeon. RNAcentral describes it as "partial 16S ribosomal RNA". It matches the Rfam family "Archaeal small subunit ribosomal RNA", at positions 477 to 747 of the family's 1478-position model. The record is from RNAcentral.
CAGCGCCACGAGUGGCAAUCGUAUUUAUUUGGCCUAAAGCGUCCGUAGCUGGUUUAGUUAAUCUCUUGUGAAAUUGUUGAGCUUAACUCAACAGCGUGCAGGAGAGACUGCUAAGCUAGGGACCGGGAGGAGUCAGAAGUAUGCCUGGGGGAGCGGUAAAAUGCUAUAAUCCUAGGUAGACUACCUGUGGCGAAGGCGUCUGACUAGAACGGGUCCGACAGUGAGGGACGAAAGCCAGGGGAGCAAACCGGAUUAGAUACCCCUGUAGUCC